Pan paniscus (pygmy chimpanzee) is the source of this 59-nucleotide microRNA precursor. NCBI's taxonomy places the organism in Eukaryota, Metazoa, Chordata, Mammalia, Primates, Hominidae. The record is from Ensembl.
UAAUUGCGGUUUUUGCUAUUGCUUUUAAAUGGCAAAAACUGCAGUUACUUUUGCACCAA